AGUGAACGCUGGCGGUAGGCCUAACACAUGCAAGUCGAACGGCAGCACAGUAAGAGCUUGCUCUUACGGGUGGCGAGUGGCGGACGGGUGAGGAAUACAUCGGAAUCUACUUUUUCGUGGGGGAUCACGUAGGGAAACUUACGCUAAUACCGCAUACGACCUACGGGUGAAAGCAGGGGAUCUUCGGACCUUGCGCGAUUGAAUGAGCCGAUGUCGGAUUAGCUAGUUGGCGGGGUAAAGGCCCACCAAGGCGACGAUCCGUAGCUGGUCUGAGAGGAUGGUAGGCGGCACUGGAGCGGGGACACGGUCCAGAGGCCUAAGAGAGGGAGCAGAGGGGAAUAUUGGACAGUGGGGGCAAGCAUGAUCCAGCCAGACCGCGUGGGUGAAGAAGGCCUUCGGGUUGUAAAGACCUUUUGUUGGGAAAGAAAAGCAGCAGGUUAAUACCCCGCUGUUCUGACGGUACCCAAAGAAUAAGCACCGGCUAACUUCGUG
Molecule: ribosomal RNA, 492 nt
Filed under: uncultured bacterium
Lineage: Bacteria
Description: partial 16S ribosomal RNA
Rfam family: Bacterial small subunit ribosomal RNA
Source: RNAcentral